Molecule: transfer RNA, 73 nt
Filed under: Stegodyphus mimosarum
Lineage: Eukaryota; Metazoa; Arthropoda; Arachnida; Araneae; Eresidae
Rfam family: tRNA
About the family: Transfer RNA (tRNA) molecules are approximately 80 nucleotides in length. Their secondary structure includes four short double-helical elements and three loops (D, anti-codon, and T loops).
Source: Rfam by way of RNAcentral
GCCUUCGUGGUGUAGUGGUCAACACACUCGGCGCGUAUUCGAGAGGUCCGGGGUUCGAUUCCCGGAGAGGGCA